Non-coding RNA from Triticum aestivum (bread wheat), 108 nucleotides. NCBI's taxonomy places the organism in Eukaryota, Viridiplantae, Streptophyta, Magnoliopsida, Poales, Poaceae. The record is from Rfam.
AAUAUACUCCUUUCGUUCUAAAUUACUCGUCGCAGAGAUGGAUAUAUCUAGAUAGUUCUAGAUACAUCCAUUUCUGCGACGAGUAAUUUGGAACGGAGGGAGUAGAAG